GGACUCCUGCAAAUUUAUGCAUGACCGUGGAGAUUAUAAGUCUGGGUGGCAGAUGGAAAGGGAGUGGGAUGAAGCUGAGAAAGAGAGGAAAAGAAAAUUGGCUCUGGGAAUGCUCAAUGAAGACGAUGAGGAUGCAGAGAAGAGUGAUGAAGAUGACGACGAUGAUGCAUUACCAUUUGCUUGUUUUAUCUGCAGAGAGCCUUUUGUUGAUCCUGUUAUGACCAAAUGCAAACACUACUUCUGUGAGCACUGUGCAUUAAAGCACCAUGCAAAGAAUAAGAAGUGCUAUGUAUGCAACCAACCAACCCUUGGGAUAUUCAAUACAGCAUUUGAAAUACGCAAGAGGAUGGCGGCUCAAGGGAAAUGAUGGAUUUUCUGCCAGUUCUCUCUUUCACGAUGCCAUAGAAGUGGAUCUUGCUUUACUGUUGAAUGAUGAUUAUGAUUCAAGUAACAGGUUGUGAUUGAUGUAUGAUAAGGAAGUUUGAAACAAUACCAACGCUGGUGGAAGAUGAAGAUUAGGACAUUGACUUGAACGUCCAAUAUCACUUCAUGUGAAGAGUCGAUAUAUAUUUUCUUAUGUAAGUACGGCAACUUAUAUGGAAUUAGGUUAUGUGUCUUUCCUUUGCUUUGUUGCCUUAGUCAUGUAUUUUUGAAUUUUAAGCCUACAUGAUGAAUCACUUCAGUUGCUCG
RNAcentral lists this unclassified non-coding RNA (690 nucleotides) under Hevea brasiliensis (rubber tree). The record is from RNAcentral. Lineage: Eukaryota; Viridiplantae; Streptophyta; Magnoliopsida; Malpighiales; Euphorbiaceae.